This 484-nucleotide ribosomal RNA is filed under the name uncultured bacterium. RNAcentral's name for it is "partial 16S ribosomal RNA". It matches the Rfam family "Bacterial small subunit ribosomal RNA", at positions 28 to 507 of the family's 1533-position model. The record is from RNAcentral.
GAUUAACGCUAGCGGCAGGCAUAAUACAUGCAAGUUGAACGGCAACACAGGUAGCAUUACUGGGUGGCGAGUGGCGCACGGGUGCGUAACACGUAUGCAACCUACCCUAUACAGGCGAAUAACCUUUAGAAAUGAGGGCUAAUACGCCGUAGUAUUACAUAUUGGAUUCUAUUUGUUAUUAAAGAUUUAUCGGUAUAGAAUGGGCCUGCGUCCCAUUAGUUAGUUGGUAAGGUAACGGCUUCCCAAGACGUGGCUGGGUAGGGGAUCUGAGAGGACUUACCCCCACACGGGUACUGGGCAACGUACCAGACACCUACGGGAGGCAGCAGUAAGGAAGGUUGGGCUAUGGCCUCGAGGCUGACCGAGCCAUGCCGCGUGCAGGAAGACGGCCUUAUGGGUGGUAAACUUCUGUUAGAAGGGAAUAAUAGAGUGUACGCGUACAUGUAUGCAAGUAACGGAUAAAGAAGCACCGGCUAACUACGUG